GAUGAACGCUGGCGGCGUGCCUAAUACAUGCAAGUCGAGCGAACAGACGAGGAGCUUGCUCCUCUGACGUUAGCGGCGGACGGGUGAGUAACACGUGGAUAACCUACCUAUAAGACUGGGAUAACUUCGGGAAACCGGAGCUAAUACCGGAUAAUAUAUUGAACCGCAUGGUUCAAUAGUGAAAGACGGUUUUGCUGUCACUUAUAGAUGGAUCCGCGCCGCAUUAGCUAGUUGGUAAGGUAACGGCUUACCAAGGCAACGAUGCGUAGCCGACCUGAGAGGGUGAUCGGCCACACUGGAACUGAGACACGGUCCAGACUCCUACGGGAGGCAGCAGUAGGGAAUCUUCCGCAAUGGGCGAAAGCCUGACGGAGCAACGCCGCGUGAGUGAUGAAGGUCUUCGGAUCGUAAAACGCUGUUAUUAGGGAAGAACAAAUGUGUAAGUAACGAUGCACGUCUUGACGGUACCUAAGCAGAAAGCCACGGCUAACUACGU
This 496-nucleotide ribosomal RNA is filed under the name uncultured bacterium. RNAcentral's name for it is "partial 16S ribosomal RNA". It matches the Rfam family "Bacterial small subunit ribosomal RNA", at positions 28 to 506 of the family's 1533-position model. The record is from RNAcentral.